RNAcentral lists this ribosomal RNA (196 nucleotides) under uncultured bacterium. RNAcentral describes it as "partial 16S ribosomal RNA". It matches the Rfam family "Bacterial small subunit ribosomal RNA", at positions 1307 to 1500 of the family's 1533-position model. The record is from RNAcentral.
GCAACUCGCCUGCAUGAAGCUGGAAUUGCUAGUAAUCGCGGAUCAGCAUGCCGCGGUGAAUACGUUCCCGGGCCUUGUACACACCGCCCGUCACACCAUGAGAGUCGGGAACACCCGAAGUCCGUAGUCUAACCCGCAAGGGAGGGCGCGGCCGAAGGUGGGUCCGGUAAUUGGGGUGAAGUCGUAACAAGGUAAC